UGGGGAAUAUUGCACAAUGGGGGAAACCCUGAUGCAGCGACGCCGCGUGAGCGAAGAAGGCCUUCGGGUCGUAAAGCUCUUUUAUGAGGGAAGAUAAUGACGGUAUCAUAGGAGGAAGCCCCGGCUAAAUACGUGCCAGCAGCCGCGGUAAUACGUAUGGGGCGAGCGUUGUCCGGAAUUAUUGGGCGUAAAGGGUACGUAGGCGGUCUAUUAAGUCAGGUGUGAAAGCGUGAGGCUUAACCUCAUUAAGCACUUGAAACUGAUAGACUUGAGUGAAGGAGAGGAAAGUGGAAUUCCUAGUGUAGCGGUGAAAUGCGUAGAUAUUAGGAGGAAUACCGGUGGCGAAGGCGACUUUCUGGACUUUUACUGACGCUCAGGUACGAAAGCGUGGGGAGCAAACAGG
Molecule: ribosomal RNA, 403 nt
Filed under: Verrucomicrobiota bacterium
Lineage: Bacteria; Pseudomonadati; Verrucomicrobiota
Description: Verrucomicrobia bacterium partial 16S ribosomal RNA
Rfam family: Bacterial small subunit ribosomal RNA
Source: RNAcentral